GUGUGGCACCCAGGAGUAUUUGUUUAUAGAAAGGCAGCCCUUCAACAACGGUUCAGUUAAUUAUUUUGUUGUAUUUUGUGUUUUCAUUGUUUUUGCUGUGUGGCACACCCUCACACUGGCUUGCAUGAACAGUAACCUCUGGUGCUAUACCCUUUUUGCGCCAGAGGGGGCAGUAAUGGCGCCUGGGAGACAGAGAGACUGACUGCGAACCGUAGAAGCAGCUCAGAUCGAGCGCGAGCUACGUUCAGCAGUUAGCACGGCGCAGCCUUUAUGUUUGAUUGUUAUUUUCUGUGAUUACAGAUCGUUUGUAUGGUAGAAGCAGCUCAGAUCGAGCGCGAGCUACGUUCAGCAGUCAGCACGGCGCAGCCUUUAUGUUUGAUUAUUAUUUUCUGUGAUUACAGAAUAAAAGUCGACCUGUUACACCCCAGCCAAAUGCUUUUGUCGUAACGUGUGUAACACAAGCACCGCCGUAAUCGGCUUCCGUAGCUACAGGUUAGUAAUUAGUGUGAUAGGUAUAGUGAAGUAUAUAUAGUAGGUCUAUGCAUAUAGUAGUAUAAAGGCUUUUGUUAGAUUUAGUUAAAAGCAUAGAUUUCAGUUAGAUCAUGCAGUAAAACUUUACUUGAGGGGACACAAAUAAUGUAGUAUUAAGCUAUUACUUAUGUAUUACUUAUCCACAAAUUAGGUGUCAGUUACAAACUGAUUUCAUGUUUGUUCAUCAUUAAUGAAGUGUCACACAUUUUCUCAAGAACUACUAAGAAGCUACUGAAGGAACAAGUAUGCCUAAUGAAUAACACAAGUGAAAUACCGAUCUCACCAUUAAUAAUGGUACAGCCAUAGCCCAUGCAUCUCCUGGAAGUUAACAGAACUAUUACAACUGUUUAUGGAAUAUGACGUGAAUAUGAACUGGCAGUGUGUUUACAUUACCAUCCAUUCAUCUUCACACACCUUCGGGGACCAUAUAUCUGGAAACCUAGGACACACGGCGGAGGAAGGCCCUGGAUGGGAUGGCAAGCCAUGGCAGGACAGUUACAAUGCAAUAUUAGUGAUAAACUGAACUUUAGCCUCUUAUAUUAAGGUUCCAGAUUGAUCUGGGCUAUAAUUCUGAAGAUCUGGUAUUACACUUUAACCCUUGUUUUGCUAUAGUAUUACUAGGGACAGUACUGAGUAUUAACAGUAGUUUAGUAUUGUUAGGGACAGUACUGAGUAUUAACAGUAGUUUAGUAUUGUUAGGGACAGUACUGAGUAUUAACAGUAGUAUAGUAUUAUUAGGUUCUGGCUUUGUUGGAAGACGUUGUGUAGCUGCAGUACUGCAUACACUUGUAACUAGGCAUUCAGGAGCUUUAAGCUCCUGAGUGCUUGUUCUUUUGUAAAUGCUCUCCAGACUUGGGGAAUAUCACCUUGUCCAUGGAAUUUUCUGCUGUAAUGGAGAAUGAUUUAAAUUCUUCAUUUACCUGCUUAAUUAUCAUCUCAAGAGACCUUUCCAUCACUUCCUGAAGGAAAUCAAUGUCAGUAACAAUGUCAGUAAUAUCUUGAUGGUUCAUAACUUUGAUGUCAUUUUCUCCAAAUCUCAGUUCAUCAGUCAGCUGUCUGGAAAACACCUUAAGCCACAUGUUAACAUCACCUUUACUCUGUUUGGUUUCCUCUGUUUGUUGCAUGAACUAAAGACUGAUGUUUCUGCUUAAUAUUGAUUUUGAUUAAAGGAAAAAUUUUGGAUGUGU
Long non-coding RNA from Brienomyrus brachyistius, 1718 nucleotides. RefSeq lists it as uncharacterized. The transcript has 3 exons. NCBI's taxonomy places the organism in Eukaryota, Metazoa, Chordata, Actinopteri, Osteoglossiformes, Mormyridae. The record is from RefSeq and is a predicted model, not a curated record.